UUGUACGCUGGCGGCAGGCCUAACACAUGCAAGUCGAGCGGAUGAAGGGAGCUUGCUCCUGGAUUCAGCGGCGGACGGGUGAGUAAUGCCUAGGAAUCUGCCUGGUAGUGGGGGAUAACGUCCGGAAACGGGCGCCAAUACCGCAUACGUCCUGAGGGAGAAAGUGGGGGAUCUUCGGACCUCACGCUAUCAGAUGAGCCUAGGUCGGAUUAGCUAGUUGGUGGGGUAAAGGCCUACCAAGGCGACGAUCCGUAACUGGUCUGAGAGGAUGAUCAGUCACACUGGAACUGAGACACGGUCCAGACUCCUACGGGAGGCAGCAGUGGGGAAUAUUGGACAAUGGGCGAAAGCCUGAUCCAGCCAUGCCGCGUGUGUGAAGAAGGUCUUCGGAUUGUAAAGCACUUUAAGUUGGGAGGAAGGGCAGUAAGUUAAUACCUUGCUGUUUUGACGUUACCAACAGAAUAAGCACCGGCUAACUUCGUG
RNAcentral lists this ribosomal RNA (483 nucleotides) under uncultured bacterium. RNAcentral describes it as "partial 16S ribosomal RNA". It matches the Rfam family "Bacterial small subunit ribosomal RNA", at positions 30 to 507 of the family's 1533-position model. The record is from RNAcentral.